GUUGACUGUGGCCUUAAAUGGUUUCGCUGUAAAUGUUUACUGCAUUUUAAAAACUGGAGCCAAAAACUAUACAAGCAGAGUGCACUAAUACUAUGAAGCCAUCUAAAAAUACAAAAAUACAUUUUACAUAUACAAACAUUUCACUCUUCUUGGGCACCAAUUCACCAAGCCUUUUUAAAUAUAUAUGGUAGUGAAAUCAUGCGAGUGUAAUUUAGAAAAUGCACUGUGCCAAAUACUGCUAAAAUGAACACUAGUAUUGGCGUUUUAUUUUGUUUGACGAUAUAAGGUCCUCGGAAUCAUAGAUGUUGCAGUCAGAGUGUGUCUGAUGUGAUUCACGGUUACUACAAGCUGAUAUUCUGUAAUACCAGUCUAUGAUGCUGUACCAAUUAAGUUCACUGAAUUGAUUAUAUAUUAUCUUUUUGUGCCUUUGUGAUGAUGGACCUUUGAUGAGGAUGCAUGUACAUGUACUGCAUGUACUCCCGUAAAAUUUCACUAUGGUGCAUGUUUUUCACAGGUGCUCUGGCAGCAAACUACCAUUACAUGGACAGCUACGGUAUGGUACGGGAUAUGAAAACUAUUCCUCACUCCUAAAUGACCUUUGGUUUAAGGUUUAAGUGGCCCUGGAUUUGGCUCCAUCCAUCUUCCCAUGAAGUCUAUCUUCCUUGUCCCUGCUGAAGAAAAGUAGCCACACACCAUGGUGCGAAUGAACAUCUGGAGGUGACAGGGAGUCUCGAAGUAAGUUUGUCACAUGUCACUUUUGGAAAGCAUAGUGGUUCAAUAGCUUUGAAAGUGCCACUGCUGGAAGUCAAAGUAGGCUGCACUUUCAAUGUUUAAAAUGUUAAAAAAUAAUACAAGCAUUAAAAAACAAAAUAUGUUUGCUAUGA
This is a long non-coding RNA of Hippocampus comes (tiger tail seahorse), 884 nucleotides long. RefSeq lists it as uncharacterized. The transcript has 2 exons. NCBI's taxonomy places the organism in Eukaryota, Metazoa, Chordata, Actinopteri, Syngnathiformes, Syngnathidae. The record is from RefSeq and is a predicted model, not a curated record.